Molecule: non-coding RNA, 118 nt
Organism: Neopestalotiopsis sp. 37M
Lineage: Eukaryota; Fungi; Ascomycota; Sordariomycetes; Amphisphaeriales; Sporocadaceae
Source: the annotation of a GenBank genome assembly
GGUCCGUUGGCAGAAUUGGCAUUGCGUCUGACUACGACAGCUUCCUCUCUGGAUAAAACUAGAAAGGCUGUAAUCAGUUGACAUCAGGAGAUUCUGGGUUCGAUCCCCAGGCGGACCU